AGUCGACGAUGAAUCUUCUAGCUUGCUAGAAGUGGAUUAGUGGCGCACGGGUGAGUAAUGCAUAGGUUAUGUGCCCUUUAGUCUGGGAUAGCCACUGGAAACGGUGAUUAAUACUGGAUACUCCCUACGGGGGAAAGUUUUUCGCUAAAGGAUCAGCCUAUGUCCUAUCAGCUAGUUGGUGAGGUAAUGGCUCACCAAGGCUAUGACGGGUAUCCGGCCUGAGAGGGUGAUCGGACACACUGGAACUGAGACACGGUCCAGACUCCUACGGGAGGCAGCAGUAGGGAAUAUUGCUCAAUGGGGGAAACCCUGAAGCAGCAACGCCGCGUGGAGGAUGAAGGUUUUAGGAUUGUAAACUCCUUUUGUUAGAGAAGAUUAUGACGGUAUCUAACGAAUAAGCACCGGCUAACUCCGUGCCAGCAGCCGCGGUAAUGCGGAGGGUGCAAGCGUUACUCGGAAUCACUGGGCGUAAAGAGUGCGUAGGCGGGGUAAUAAGUCAGAUGUGAAAUCCUGUAGCUUAACUACAGAACUGCAUUUGAAACUGUUACUCUGGAGUGUGGGAGAGGUAGGUGGAAUUCUUGGUGUAGGGGUAAAAUCCGUAGAGAUCAAGAGGAAUACUCAUUGCGAAGGCGACCUGCUGGAACAUUACUGACGCUGAUGCACGAAAGCGUGGGGAGCAAACAGGAUUAGAUACCCUGGUAGUCCACGCCCUAAACGAUGGAUGCUAGUUGUUGCCUUGCUUGUCAGGGCAGUAAUGCAGCUAACGCAUUAAGCAUCCCGCCUGGGGAGUACGGUCGCAAGAUUAAAACUCAAAGGAAUAGACGGGGACCCGCACAAGCGGUGGAGCAUGUGGUUUAAUUCGAAGAUACGCGAAGAACCUUACCUAGGCUUGACAUUGAUAGAAUCUACU
Molecule: ribosomal RNA, 910 nt
Filed under: uncultured bacterium
Lineage: Bacteria
Description: bacterial SSU rRNA
Rfam family: Bacterial small subunit ribosomal RNA
Source: RNAcentral